CAGCAGCCGCGGGAAUACGAAGGGGGCUAGCGUUGCUCGGAAUGACUGGGCGUAAAGGGCGCGUAGGCGGCGGCCAAAGUCAGGCGUGAAAUUCCCGGGCUCAACCUGGGGGCUGCGUUUGAUACUUGGUUGCUUGAGUGGGGAAGAGGGUCGUGGAAUUCCCAGUGUAGAGGUGAAAUUCGUAGAUAUUGGGAAGAACACCGGUGGCGAAGGCGGCGACCUGGUCCUUUACUGACGCUGAGGCGCGAAAGCGUGGGGAGCAAACAGGAUUAGAUACCCCGGUAGUCCCUGUCUCUUAUAC
This 301-nucleotide ribosomal RNA is filed under the name uncultured bacterium. RNAcentral's name for it is "partial 16S ribosomal RNA". It matches the Rfam family "Bacterial small subunit ribosomal RNA", at positions 509 to 807 of the family's 1533-position model. The record is from RNAcentral.